UGCAUGCACGUCGAGCGCGCCUGCAUCGCUUCGGUGGUGCAGGAAAGCGGCAAACGGCUGAGUAACGCGUGAGUAACCUGUCCUUCGGUGGGGUAAAACCUCAAGAAAUCGGGGCUAAUACCGCAUGUGGUCCCUGUGCCUUGGUGCAGGGAAGAAAGCCUUCGGGCGCCGGAGGAGGGGCUCGCGUCCUAUCAUGGUAGUUGGUGGGGUAAAAGCCUACCAAGCCUAUGACGGGUAGCUGGUCUGAGAGGAUGAUCAGCCAGAGGGGGACUGAGACACCGCCCCCACUCCUACGGGAGGCAGCAGCAGGGAAUUUUGGGCAAUGGGCGAAAGCCUGACCCAGCAACGCCGCGUGGGGGAUGAAGGCCUAAGGGCUGUAAACCCCUUUUCCGAGGGAAGAGAUAGGACGGUACCUCGGGAAUAAGCUCCGGCUAACUACGUGCCAGCAGCCGCGGUAAUACGUAGGGAGCGAGCGUUACCCGGAUUUACUGGGCGUAAAGGGUAUGUAGGCGGCAAGGCAAGUCUUCUGUGAAAGCUCCCGGCCCAACCGGGAGAGGUCAGGAGAUACUGCCUAGCUUGAGGGCAGUAGAGGAGGGUGGAAUUCCUGGUGCAGCGGUGAAAUGCGUAUAUAUCGGGAGGAACACCAGUGGCGAAAGCGUCCCUCUGGGCUGUACCUGACGCUGAUGUACGAAAGCGUGGGUAGCAAACCGGAUUAGAUACCCGGGUAGUCCACGCCCUAAACGUUGGAUGCUAGGUAUAGGGGGGUAUCGACCCCCUCUGUGCCGAAGUUAACGCGAUAAGCAUCCCGCCUGGGAGAGUACGGUCGCAAGGCUAAAACUCAAAAGAAUUGACGGGGCGCCCGCACAAGCGGUGGAGCGUGUGGUUUUAUUUCGAUGCUAAGCGAAGACUCUUACCAGGGUCUUGACAUGAUG
This 932-nucleotide ribosomal RNA is filed under the name uncultured bacterium. RNAcentral's name for it is "bacterial SSU rRNA". It matches the Rfam family "Bacterial small subunit ribosomal RNA", at positions 52 to 991 of the family's 1533-position model. The record is from RNAcentral.